GACGAACGCUGGCGGCGUGCUUAACACAUGCAAGUCGAACGGAAAGGCCCUGCUUUUGUGGGGUGCUCGAGUGGCGAACGGGUGAGUAACACGUGAGUAACCUGCCCUUGACUUUGGGAUAACUUCAGGAAACUGGGGCUAAUACCGGAUAGUAGCUCCUGCUGCAUUGUGGGGGUUGGAAAGUGUCGGGGGUUGGGGAUGGACUCGCGGCUGAUCAGCUUGUUGUUGGGGUAGUGGCUUACCAAGGGUUUGACGGGUAGCCGGCCUGAGAGGGUGACCGGUCACAUUGGGACCGGGAUACGGCCGGGAGUCGUACGGGAGGCAGUAGUGGGGAAUAUUGCACAAUGGGCGGAAGCCGGAUGGAGCGACGCCGCGGGCUGGAUGAUGGGCUUCGGGUUGGAAACCGCUUUCGCCUGUGACGAAGUGGGAGUGACGGUAAUGGGUAAAGAAGCGCCGGCUAACUACGUG
Molecule: ribosomal RNA, 468 nt
Filed under: uncultured bacterium
Lineage: Bacteria
Description: partial 16S ribosomal RNA
Rfam family: Bacterial small subunit ribosomal RNA
Source: RNAcentral